AGACAUUAGGAGCAGGCAGUAUCUUUUCUUUUUCUUUUUCUUUCUUUCUUUUUUUUUUUUUUGACAGGAUGGGCUGGGGUUGGGGGAGGAGGAAGCAAGAAUCAAGCAGAGAAGGCGAGCUCCUUUCUGUUAAUCUAACUCAAACAACCCUGGUUACCAUCUGGUCGGCUGGACCAUGAGUGUUUCAAGGGCAAGGCCAUGUCUGAUUCAAUUCCACAUCCACAGUACGUAAAGCAACGUCUGGCAGAGCAAAGAACUCAUCCAUCAAUUGAAUGACAUCAUGGCCAAUCUACGAGUUCUGGCUUACUUGUCAUGCUAUUAUCACAUCUGCCAAGACCCAAGUGACCACCUGGUAAUUACUUCAACAGCAGAGCGACUCAUACAGCCAGCAGUCCACUUUGUUCUUCUAUAGAUCCUGCCUGUGGUGUUGGAUCUAACAGCUUCUUCCCUGACCCAAGAUUAUGAAGGAUUUCUCCUGUGUUCUCUUCUAAAAAUUUUAUAUUUAGGUAUAUAAUCCAUUUUGAGCUAAUUCUUUUAAAUAGUGCAAAGUAUGGAUUGAAGUUCUUUUUUUUUUUUUUUUGCAGAUACAUAUUUAAUUUUUCCAGCACCAUUUGUUGAAAAGACUAAUGUUCUUGCCUGAAUAGCCUUUGCAUUGUUGUUGAAAAUCAUGUUCACACAUGUACACAUUCCACUGAUCUAUUUGCCUCUUUGUGAAAAUACUACUAUUUUGAUUAAUAUAGAUUUAUAGGGAGUCUUAAAAUCAUAUCUUAAAAAGACAGUGGAAGUUAUUUAACCUUACUCUUGCUUUUAGAAAUUGUUUUGGAUAUUCUAGAUCCUUUGUGUUUCCAUAUAAAUUUUAUAAUCAGUUUGGCAAUUUAUUUAAAAUAUUCUUCUGGGAUUUUGAUGGACAUUACACUGAAUCGAUGGAUCGCUUUGGGGACAACUGACAUCUUGACAAUAUUGAGUCAUCUAACAUAUGAUCAUGGAAAUUGCUCCAUUUAUUUAGAUCUUCUUUCACAUCUUGAAGCAGUGUUUUGCGUUUUCAGUGUAUAGGUAUUUAAUAGAUUUAAAAAUAUGAUCCCUAAAUAUUCAAUGUUUUUGAUGCUAUUGGAAUUUUAAAAAAUUAAUUUCUGUUCUGAGGAAGGAAAAUAAUAAAAGAUUAAACAGGAAAAAUAAAAAUAAUCAAAACAAAAGAUAAAUCAUUGACAAA
RNAcentral lists this long non-coding RNA (1210 nucleotides) under Pan troglodytes (chimpanzee). RNAcentral's name for it is "lincRNA". Lineage: Eukaryota; Metazoa; Chordata; Mammalia; Primates; Hominidae. The record is from RNAcentral.